Parasteatoda tepidariorum (common house spider) is the source of this 128-nucleotide small nuclear RNA. RefSeq annotates it as U4atac minor spliceosomal RNA. The record is from RefSeq and is a predicted model, not a curated record. Lineage: Eukaryota; Metazoa; Arthropoda; Arachnida; Araneae; Theridiidae.
ACCGUCCUUGUCACGGGUAGUAACUGUCCAAUGAACGUCAAGUGAGGGCAGCGUGCUGACAACCAUGUGACACAAUUUACCGCAUCGCUUGACUAAUACUGUUAGGUUUGGAUGCAAUUUUUGGAACC